AUUUUUUUUUCAAUUUAUUCAAGCACUCAUCCUCUAAGAAAGUAAGAACAAUUCUGUCCAGCAAGCAAGAACCACAGACAGGUCUCAAGUGAGUAAGGAAUGCCUUCGAAGAGUGUUUUUCUGCUGAAAACUGAAAUAUCUGCUGAGUGUGCCAGAGGAAGCUGUGUCUGUUGGAUUCCCGACCGCAGCGUUAUUUCUCCCUUGAGCCACAUGAAACAGGAUGAAGGGCAGAGGAGAUGGAAAGCGGGGAUGAAGCGCUGGGACUGCAAUUUCAGCCUGAAGUCUUCCCCGAAGGAGGGGAUCUGAAGGCUUCUAAGGAGGAUAAAUCCUUCCUUCUGCGUAUUCGUACAUCCAGAACUGGAAUUUGAAAAGACUAGCAAAGAAGCAGAGCAGUAACUGAAUCCAGGCAGGAAAAGGCAAUAACAAUUUCUGUGAAGCAAUUAUAUAUAUCAGAGGUAACUCAGAACAGCCUUAUCAAUGAAAGAGAAGGAUGACUGACCCUUUGAAAUGCUUCUGAAAAAUCUCUACAGAAUGAGCAGUAGAAAGUUGACUUUGAAUCUACUAGAAUUAUACAGAAACAUUAUUGUGUUACAUAUACACACACUAAUUAAUGUAACACAAAUCAAUACAAUGCACAACAGUACUGCAUGUGUCCCCCCUCCACAAUUCUGCAUUUCCCUGUUGUGUUUCAGAGUUUACAUCCUAUAGUACACAACUCCUACGUUUUCCUCAAUUUUAGAAACUGUCCUACUGGCAACCACUGCUCUUCUGGCUGAGGCCCACAGGGUGGAGGUUUAACCAUCAACGCUGCUCAGCAUCAGGAGUAAAGUUGGAUGAACUGAACCUUCUACCCCCAGACAGCUCCUGGGAGGGCCUGAGAAGACAGCAUGGCAUGGGACGGCUGCAGAACCACGCCAGCAGCUUCAGACACAGCAAUUGCCUGCCAGACAACUGGCAUUUAAAUUCAACAAUAUUUAUUAUUUUCCAUCUAAAGGCUGAUUCACACCAUGGUGAACUCCAGGGACAGAAAUUUGCUGGUAAGCCCCCAUUUCAAUACUGGUACUCAAUCCAGGCUUCGGUGACUACCUAUCUGAACCUCUUGAGAUCUUAAUUGCCUAACCCAGCAGCAGUGGAUAAGCGUAUAUUUAUAUAUGUUGCACAGCAGGUUGUGUCCCCAGUGCCAGGCUAUGGGAAGCACUGGAAGAGCUUAUUAAAGUUCCAGGUAAAGUUUCUCAGUUUGCAGCAUAAGAAAAGCUGUGACCACAGCAGUACUGGUCAUUACAGAAGCUCUCUCAUCGGAAGCAAUUAAGAAGAAACCAGACCAAGUAUUUCUGCAGGUCAAGCACUGGCAGGGCACGGGAGCAGUGUUACAAACAUUACAUCUUCAGGAUUUAAUUCGUGUGAUUCUCUCCACUGCUCUCUGCUACUUACACGAUGCAAGUCUGUUUAUAGCAAAGCAGGGACAGUAGGGACAGCUUAAUCAGGACAGUCUAACGUAUGGGCAAUUAUCCAAAGCCACACAUUUUCUAAAUUCUGUAUGGGCAGAGAUGGAGCUUAAGAGCUCUGCGGGGAUCAGAGCUGCUAACGAACUUCUAAGGAGGGCUCUGGGGACUGGGAUGUGCAUAAUGAGAAAAUCUGGAUAUUCGGUGUGAAGAACUCUCCUAAUUUAUCUGCAGACUAUGUAAAUUAAAUUUGUAUUUAACGCCUAUCACUACACAGUCCACUUUAGCACUGGGAUAAAUUGGGUAUCCUGUGAAUUUUCCCUUUUUUGUUACUAGUGUGGCUGAAAGUGUUCAGAAAGGGGAGAUCUGGAAAAUUUGGUCAAGCAUGCUGUUGGGAAGUGUUAUUAUACCACCAAAUCUUCCUGUCAGCUCCCACCUCUUGAGGUUACAGCAUCAUGUCUGCAGGCUACGUGCUUAUUUGUUCCCAUGUGUUACAUUUGGAUAUUAUCUGCAUAUACUGUGCAUGUAUAUAAGUAUUGUGUAUGUAUGUAUGUAGGUGCAUACAUAUAUUUAUAUGUGUGUAUUUGUGUGUGUGUAUAUACAUUUAUAACAUAUCUACUAAAGCAAAGGGGUCUAGAGGAGCUUUAAAAUACUAGAUUUAUAAAAGAAGGGGAAAAAAAAUCUUCCAAAAUACUUCAUUCUAUGUUUUCUUCUGUUAUUCUUUUCAUCUAACUAAACAUGCUUCCACUGUAUUUAACUCACUACAGCCUGAAGACAUCCUCAGUGUUCACCCCUAGCUCUAAUCCUGUUCCUUUGUUACCAAAUCAGUUCAGAAAAACAUCUCUGUUCAGAAAAGCACUUCAACAUAUGCUUAAGUACAUUCUUAAAGGUAAGUGACGUCUUGAAUCAGCCUAAUAAUUUAAAGUAGUAUUAAUAAACACUCCUUAAUAAACAAUUCCAUUUGAUAUGUCUUCA
Long non-coding RNA from Calidris pugnax (ruff), 2417 nucleotides. RefSeq lists it as uncharacterized. NCBI's taxonomy places the organism in Eukaryota, Metazoa, Chordata, Aves, Charadriiformes, Scolopacidae. The record is from RefSeq and is a predicted model, not a curated record. The transcript has 2 exons.